Molecule: ribosomal RNA, 586 nt
Filed under: uncultured bacterium
Lineage: Bacteria
Description: partial 16S ribosomal RNA
Rfam family: Bacterial small subunit ribosomal RNA
Source: RNAcentral
UGGGGAAUAUUGGACAAUGGGGGCAACCCUGAUCCAGCCAUGCCGCGUGUGUGAAGAAGGCCUUUUGGUUGUAAAGCACUUUAAGCAGGGAGGAGAGGCUAAUGGUUAAUACCCAUUAGAUUAGACGUUACCUGCAGAAUAAGCACCGGCUAACUCUGUGCCAGCAGCCGCGGUAAUACAGAGGGUGCGAGCGUUAAUCGGAAUUACUGGGCGUAAAGCGAGUGUAGGUGGCUCAUUAAGUCACAUGUGAAAUCCCCGGGCUUAACCUGGGAACUGCAUGUGAUACUGGUGGUGCUAGAAUAUGUGAGAGGGAAGUAGAAUUCCAGGUGUAGCGGUGAAAUGCGUAGAGAUCUGGAGGAAUACCGAUGGCGAAGGCAGCUUCCUGGCAUAAUAUUGACACUGAGAUUCGAAAGCGUGGGUAGCAAACAGGAUUAGAUACCCUGGUAGUCCACGCUGUAAACGAUGUCUACUAGCCGUUGGGGUCCUUGAGACUUUAGUGGCGCAGUUAACGCGAUAGUAGACCGCCUGGGGAGUACGGCCGCAAGGUUAAACUCAAAGGAAUUGACGGGGUCAUAGCUGUUUCCUG